RNA transcript from Oncorhynchus kisutch (coho salmon), 3083 nucleotides. It is a transcript of the gene named prostaglandin E2 receptor EP2 subtype-like, with no coding region annotated. NCBI's taxonomy places the organism in Eukaryota, Metazoa, Chordata, Actinopteri, Salmoniformes, Salmonidae. The record is from RefSeq and is a predicted model, not a curated record. The transcript has 3 exons.
CCGGAAAGAUUAACAUCCGUUUUUGUUGACACCAGAGGAGCCAGCAUGAGCCUCAUUUCAGCAGAGCCUCUUUUGUUUGCAGUGAUGUGAGCAAAAGGGAUAGUUAACAGUUCAAGAUUAGGCGAGUAGGCUACGACCAGUUGUUAUGGAAUACAAUGAUAGUAUAACCUGCCAUGACAGAGUCACUGUCUCAUCGGGGAAUCCCUAUAUCUCCGCGGCAAUCUUCUCUGCGGAGGUACUAGGCAAUUUAAUCGCCUUGGUCCUUUUGGAGAUGCGGCGCCGGCGGCAAAUUCCAUCCUUGUUCCAGGUGCUGGUGACUGCACUGGUGACUACAGAUCUACUAGGUUCCUUAUCCAUCAGUCCUCUUGUACUAGCCUCUUAUACACAAAACAGGACCUUGGUAGAUAUGAGUAAAAACAGAGCAGUAUGCGCCUACUUUGGUUUCAGCAUGACUUUUUUCAGCCUCGCCACUUUGGCCAUUCUGUGCGCCAUGGCUUUGGAGCGCUACCUCUCCGUUGGACAGCCGUAUUUUUACGAGCGGCACUUGACAAAGCGCUGCGGAUAUAUCACCAUUCCACUCAUCUAUCUGGUCUGCAUCUUCUUCUGCCUAGCACCUUUUAUGGGCUUUGGAGACUACGUCCAAUAUUGCCCGGGGACUUGGUGCUUCUUUGACAUGAACCCAAACGUGACCCAACACAAAGUCUACGUCGGUGUGUAUGCGUCAUUGGCUCUUAUCAUGAUUUCGACGACACUAGUUAGUAACUUAUCUGUCGUCUACCAUUUGAUUAUAAUGUAUCGGAUGUGCAAAGCGCACCGUGGGGGAGUUACGCGACGGAUACGGUUCUACCAAAAAUCCUUCGCUAUGACUGAGGAAGUGGAGCAUCUUCUGCUACUGGUGUUCAUAACAGUGGCUUUCGUCAUCUGUUCGUUUCCUUUAGUGCUCCGUGUGUAUGUCAACUUUACAGGCAGGUCAAAGGAGAGCCAUGCCACCGAUCUCGCUGUGCUUCGCCUGCUGUCCUUCAACUCCAUCAUCAACCCUUGGGUCUUCAUCAUCCUCAGGCCAUCAGUGCUGCGCUUCCUCUGGAGAAAGCUGACGCUGAGUAAGGCCCAGAGGCCUCCAGAGGCCCCCACAUUCCCCCAGGAAAAGUCUCUCCCAGUUGGGCCCAAACUCCCUCUGCCAAGCCCACUUAUCGAGCUCCAGAACGAUGAUGUGGAGGGAGUGGACAAGACAUAGGGCACGUUGGAGCGGAUCACCUUCGUCAAGUCGUUGACCAUCAUUGGUCACCGUCUUUCAAAGCCCACCCCUCCUCCCCGUGUCAUCGAUGGCCAUCCGGCAUACACGGUGAGACGCUUCCUGAGUGUUCGACCACGAGGCAGGGGUUUCCAGUACCUGGUUGACUGGGAGGGUUAUGGCCCGGGGGAGAGCUGCUGGGUCCCCGCUAGAGAAAUGCUGGAUCCAGCCCUCAUCGCCGACUUCCACCACCAGCACCCCGGUCAACCAGGUAUGCGUCCAGGUGAGACGCCAAGUGGCGCCCAUAGAGGGGGGGGUACAGUCACACCCUGAUCUGUUUCACCUGUCUUUGUGAUUGUCUCCACCCCCCUCCAGGUGUCGCCCAUCUGCCCCAUUAUCCCCUAUGCAUUUGUAUCCGUGUUCUCUGUUUGUCUGUUGACAGUCCGUCUUAGUGGUUGCUUUAAGUUGUGAUUUAUAGUCUUUUAUGUAUUGCAUUGUCAUUAUCUCCAAUUUGAAUGGUAGUCCGUUAUAGGGCUCCCGAGUGGCACAGCGGUCUAAGGCACUGAACACGGAAUCAACAUGCAGUGUCAGAAAUGCUUGUCAUUUUAGGACGUUUAUGUUAAGCUGGAGGAGUGGAAAUGUGCCAGCUUGGAGGAGGUCACUAAAGCACAGAGUGCCUCCUAUGCAUGGUAUGAAGGACGUAAACUUCGGAUCACUGCUAGCUCAGCAAAGAAGGUUCCUGUGCACACCUCAACAAAUCCAGACAACUUUGUGCGGCAGCAUCUCUUCCCCAGGUUCCAUGGGAACGCAGCAAGCACAUAUGGCAAGGAGAACAAGCGGGUGGUCUACACAUUGAUGGAGAGCUGUGGGCUUAGUCUAGAGAGUAGAGGCACAGUAGUGAGUGUCAAGAAGCCAUGGCUUUCUGCAAGCCCAGAUAGUGUUAAACUCUCAAGAACUUCUAGAAAUCAAAUGUCCUGUUCUGAGUAAGAAGUGUGAAUCUCUGACUGAACUGUUCUCUAGCAAACUCACAAUGUGAAGCUGGUGGAUGGGGUUCCUCAGCUGCAACUGAAUGGCGCCCGUGGGUACUACAGGUGCAAAUGGGCAUGUUCUGCACAGGACUGGAGAGACACAAACUGCUGUCUGGGCUCCAUCCGAGCAGGUUAUUAUUGAUGUGCCUUUUGAUGUGAAGUUAUGUGCUGAUGUUAUCCCUAAACUGAAUACAUUUUAUUUCACAGAUGUGCUGCCAAGGACACUAUAUGAGAUCCAGUCAGGCAGACUAAGUCUGUGCUCCAAAUAUGUUAUUUUGUGUGGUAUCUAGGCUCGGGCCUAAUACUUUGUUUUUAAAUAGUUCUUAUUUUGUGUUAUUUUGUGUUCUAAAGCUCACUCUGUUAGCUCUACUUUAUCUAAGUAUAACUCCGUGUUUUUUGUUGUUGUAUUGUACAGUUCUCUUCAUAUAUGCACAUUUACCUGAUUAUAUUUGCAUAAUUCUUCAUGGUGUUUUUUAUGUCUUGCCUCGUACAGCUAUUUUCAUACAGUACAUGUUUAUCGAAGGCCUAAGGAUAACUCCUUAUGAUUUAUGAAUAUUUUUUAUUGUACCUUGUAUAUCUCUUUCUUCUCAUAUGGCACUAUGAAAUUAUCUAAGCAUACCGUAACUCCUCUUGCUCGUGACAAAUUACUGCGUGAAGAAAAACACCACUUGUUGACAUUUUCUUUGAUUCUUAACCUUUUGAAAUGAAGGACGGGGAGGCAUGUCUAAAGGUUUCAAAUGUGUUUUCAGGUUUGACUCUGGAUUUGUUUUUCAAGAGCACAAAUGAACAAAACUGUGUGGCACUUGAUAAACAGUUGUAUUCCC